UACAUGGGGUGCAAACGUUGCUCGGAAUUAUUGGGCGUAAAGCGCGCGUAGGCGGUUACUCAAGUCGGAUGUGAAAGCCCUCGGCUUAACUGAGGAAGUGCAUCCGAAACUGGCAGGCUAGAGUACUAAAGAGGGUCGCGGAAUUCCCGGUGUAGAGGUGAAAUUCGUAGAUAUCGGGAGGAACACCGGUGGCGAAGGCGGCGACCUGGGUAGAUACUGACGCUGAGGUGCGAAAGCGUGGGGAGCAAACAGG
RNAcentral lists this ribosomal RNA (253 nucleotides) under uncultured bacterium. Its description in RNAcentral is "partial 16S ribosomal RNA". It matches the Rfam family "Bacterial small subunit ribosomal RNA", at positions 524 to 776 of the family's 1533-position model. The record is from RNAcentral.